RNAcentral lists this ribosomal RNA (253 nucleotides) under uncultured bacterium. Its description in RNAcentral is "partial 16S ribosomal RNA". It matches the Rfam family "Bacterial small subunit ribosomal RNA", at positions 524 to 776 of the family's 1533-position model. The record is from RNAcentral.
UACGGGGGGGGCAAGCGUUGUUCGGAAUUACUGGGCGUAAAGGGCUCGUAGGCGGCCAACUAAGUCACACGUGAAAUCCCUCGGCUCAACCGGGGAACUGCGUGUGAGACUGGAUGGCUUGAGUUUGGGAGAGGAAUGCGGAAUUCCAGGUGUAGCGGUGAAAUGCGUAGAUAUCGAGAGGAACACCUGAGGUGAAGACGGGUUGCUGGGCUGACACUGACGCUGAGGCGCGAAAGCCAGGGGAGCAAACGGG